RNAcentral lists this transfer RNA (76 nucleotides) under Serratia marcescens. RNAcentral's name for it is "tRNA-Lys". It matches the Rfam family "tRNA". From Rfam's summary of the family: Transfer RNA (tRNA) molecules are approximately 80 nucleotides in length. RNAcentral also lists the same sequence under 4 other names. The record is from RNAcentral. Lineage: Bacteria; Pseudomonadati; Pseudomonadota; Gammaproteobacteria; Enterobacterales; Yersiniaceae.
GAGUUGUUCGAUCAGUCGCUAGAGCCGUUGACUCUUAAUCAAUGGGGCGCAGGUUCGAACUCUGUACGACCCGCCA